Phyllostomus discolor (pale spear-nosed bat) is the source of this 204-nucleotide long non-coding RNA. RefSeq lists it as uncharacterized. The transcript is spliced from 3 exons. The record is from RefSeq and is a predicted model, not a curated record. Lineage: Eukaryota; Metazoa; Chordata; Mammalia; Chiroptera; Phyllostomidae.
UCACCAGCCCCCAGGGAAGGGGCUGGAGUGGAUUAGGGACAUAUGUUAUGAUGGGAACUCUUACUACAGCCGAUCCCUCAAGAGCUGCACCUCCAUCUCCAGAGACACAUCCAAGAACCAAUUUUCCCUGCAGCUGAGAUCCAUGACCACUGAGGACACAGCUGUGUAUUACUGUGCAAGAUACACAGGGUGGGGUGCCUUUGA